GACGAACGCUGGCGGCGUGCUUAACACAUGCAAGUCGAACGGAAAGGCCCUGCUUUUGUGGGGUGCUCGAGUGGAGAACGGGUGAGUAACACGUGAGUAACCUGCCCUUGACUUUGGGAUAACUUCAGGAAACUGGGGCUAAUACCGGAUAGGAGCUCCUGCUGCAUGGUGGGGGUUGGAAAGUUUCGGCGGUUGGGGAUGGACUCGCGGCUUAUCAGCUUGUUGGUGGGGUAGUGGCUUACCAAGGCUUUGACGGGUAGCGGGCCUGAGAGGGUGACCGGCCACAUUGGGACUGAGAUACGGCCCAGACUCCUCCGGGAGGCAGCGGUGGGGAAUAUUGCACAAUGGGCGGAGGCCUGAUGCAGCAACGCCGCGUGCGGGAUGACGGCCUUCGGGUUGUAAACCGCUUUCGCCUGUGACGAAGCGUGAGUGACGGUAAUGGGUAAAGAAGCACCGGCUAACUACGUG
This 468-nucleotide ribosomal RNA is filed under the name uncultured bacterium. RNAcentral describes it as "partial 16S ribosomal RNA". It matches the Rfam family "Bacterial small subunit ribosomal RNA", at positions 28 to 507 of the family's 1533-position model. The record is from RNAcentral.